Molecule: ribosomal RNA, 199 nt
Filed under: uncultured bacterium
Lineage: Bacteria
Description: partial 16S ribosomal RNA
Rfam family: Bacterial small subunit ribosomal RNA
Source: RNAcentral
ACGCUCGACACCUACGGGAGGCAGCAGUGGGGAAUAUUGCACAAUGGGGGAAACCCUGAUGCAGCGACGCCGCGUGAGCGAAGAAGUAUUUCGGUAUGUAAAGCUCUAUCAGCAGGGAANAAACUGACGGUACCUGACUAAGAAGCACCGGCUAAAUACGUGCCAACAGCCGCGGUAAUCUGAGGCGGCUGGACAAGGC